RNAcentral lists this ribosomal RNA (1924 nucleotides) under human gut metagenome. RNAcentral describes it as "bacterial LSU rRNA". It matches the Rfam family "Bacterial large subunit ribosomal RNA", at positions 3 to 2021 of the family's 2925-position model. The record is from RNAcentral.
UCAAGCUAAUAAGAGCGCAGGGAGGAUGCCUUGGCAUUGGGAGCCGACGAAGGACGUGGUAAGCUGCGAAAAGCUGCGGGGAAUUGCAAGCAAGUAUUGAUCCGCAGAUGUCCGAAUGGAGCAAUCCGUUAAGAGUAAUAUCUUAACAUCAUAUACUGAAUCAAUAGGUAUAUGAGGGGAACCGCCUGAACUGAAACAUCUAAGUAGGGCGAGGAAAAGAAAUCAACCGAGAUUCCGAAAGUAGUGGCGAGCGAAAUCGGAAGAGGCUAAACCGAACUCAGAAAUGAGAUCGGGGUUUAGGACUGCAUUUAGUAUUGAAAUGAGCGAGCAGAAUGCUUUGGGAAAAGCAGCCGAAGAACGUGAGAGCCGUGUAAGCGAAGUGAGUUUCAGCGAGCAGUAUCCAAAGUACCGCGGGGCACGUGAAAUCCCGUGGGAAGAUGGGGGGACCACCCUCCAAGCCUAAAUACUACCCAAUGACCGAUAGCGAAUAGUACUGUGAAGGAAAGGUGAAAAGCACCCCGGGAGGGGAGUGAAAAAGAACCUGAAACCCUGUGCUUACAAGCACUGAGAGCUCGUCAAAGAGUGAUCAGGUACCUAUUGUAGAAUGGUCCGGCGAGUUAUGAUAUGCAGCAAGGUUAAGUACUUAAGGUACGGAGCCGCAGCGAGAGCGAGUCUGAAUAGGGCGUAAAGUUGUAUGUCAUAGACCCGAAACCGAGUGACCUAGCCAUGUCCAGGCUGAAGUGGAGGUAAAACUCCAUGGAGGGCCGAACCGACCUCCGUUGAAAAGGCGGCGGAUGAGGUGUGGCUAGCGGAGAAAUUCCAAUCGAACUCGGAUAUAGCUGGUUCUCUCCGAAAUAGCUUUAGGGCUAGCGUUGCAACAGAUUACCGGAGGUAAAGCACUGAAUAGGCUAGGGGGCGAGAGCUUACUGAACCUUAUCAAACUAAGAAUGCCGGAUAAUUGAUUUGCAGCAGUCAGACAGUGUGAGAUAAGUUUCAUUGUCAAAAGGGAAACAGCCCAGACCCACAGCUAAGGUCCCAAAGUACAUUUGAGUGGAAAAGGAUGUGGGGUUGCAUAGACAACCGGGAUGUUGGCUUAGAAGCAGCCAUACAUUAAAAGAGUGCGUAAUAGCUCACCGGUCGAGUGACCCUGCGCCGAAAAUUCAACGGGGCUAAAAUGUACACCGAAGCUUGGGAUUGUACUAUGUACAGUGGUAGGAGAGCGUCGUAUGAGAGGAGAAGUCAGAGCGGAAGCGCUGGUGGAUUUCAUACGAGUGAGAAUGCCGGAAUGAGUAGCGAGAAUUAUGUGAGAAUCAUAAUGGCCGAAAGUCUAAGGUUUUGGAAGGAAGGUUCGUCCGCUUCCAGUAAGCCGGGAGCUAAGGUGAGGCCGAAAGGCGUAGCCGAUGCACAUACGGUUGAAAUUCCGUAGCCUCCGAAGUAUUUAAACAGAAGGACACUUGAGAAGUGAUGAUGCCGGGCGAUGGUUGACCCGGUCGUAAGGGACCGAAAUUUAGUAGGGAAGUCAUCAUGGAUCGAGGCGAGAAAAGUUCUGUGAAUAUACAAGGAGCCCGUACCGCAAACCGACACAGGUAGAUAGGAAGAAAAUUCUAAGGCCAACGGGAGAAGGGUUGUUAAGGAACUCGGCAAGUUGACCCCGUAACUUCGGAAUAAGGGGUGCUCUCGAGAGAGAGCCGCAGAGAAUAGGCCCAGGCGACUGUUUAGCAAAAACACAGCUCUAUGCUAAAUCGAAAGAUGAUGUAUAUGGGGUGACACCUGCCCGGUGCCGGAAGGUUAAGAGGAGGCGUGAGAGCGCUGAAUUGAAGCCCCGGUAAACGGCGGCCGUAACUAUAACGGUCCUAAGGUAGCGAAAUUCCUUGUCAGGUAAGUUCUGACCCGCACGAAUGGUGUAACGAUCUGGGCACUGUCU